RNAcentral lists this ribosomal RNA (487 nucleotides) under uncultured bacterium. RNAcentral describes it as "partial 16S ribosomal RNA". It matches the Rfam family "Bacterial small subunit ribosomal RNA", at positions 28 to 507 of the family's 1533-position model. The record is from RNAcentral.
GAUGAACGCUAGCGAUAGGCUUAACACAUGCAAGUCGAGGGGCAGCACAAGGUAGCUUGCUCUCUGGGUGGCGACCGGCGCACGGGUGCGUAACGCGUAUGCAACUUGCCCUAUACAGGAGGAUAACCCGUCGAAAGACGGACUAAUACUGCGUAUGCUCACAACUUGGCAUCAAGUGGUGAGGAAAGAAAUUCGGUAUAGGAUAGGCAUGCGUCCCAUUAGCUUGUUGGUGAGGUAACGGCUCACCAAGGCAACGAUGGGUAGGGGAACUGAGAGGUUUAUCCCCCACACUGGUACUGAGACACGGACCAGACUCCUACGGGAGGCAGCAGUGAGGAAUAUUGGUCAAUGGGCGCGAGCCUGAACCAGCCAAGUCGCGUGAAGGAUGACUGUCUUAUGGAUUGUAAACUUCUUUUAUACGGGAAUAACAAGAGUCACGUGUGACUCCCUGCAUGUACCGUAUGAAUAAGCAUCGGCUAACUCCGUG